RNAcentral lists this ribosomal RNA (573 nucleotides) under Triticum aestivum (bread wheat). RNAcentral's name for it is "partial small subunit ribosomal RNA". The record is from RNAcentral. Lineage: Eukaryota; Viridiplantae; Streptophyta; Magnoliopsida; Poales; Poaceae.
AUGUUCUGUUACAAAGAUGCAAACUGCACUACCGAUUUCACAAUUUUCCACCGGCACUUUUUGGAACGUCCGUUGCGUACUGGUGGCACUUUUGGAACGGAAAGCACAAGGCCUUCUAUAGGAAACUAUAGUUGCAUGAUACAUAGGAUAAAUUUUCCAAAUAAAGGUGGCCAACAUAAUUUAUUUAGUCUGAAACUUCAGGUGCUGCAAAUAAUUGUGCUUCAAUUGUUCAAGAAGACAAGUUGGAUUGCAGGACCUCUCCUCUUCUCCUCUCUGAAGAAAUAUUUAUUAUUAUCCAUGGGGUCGGAGCAACAGCGUCUUGGGAAGGGAAGAAGCAAGCACAUAGAGAACUUCCAUGGCACGGCUGCUAGUGCGUGGUUAUGUAUAUGGAGCCCGAGGUGGAUCCGACGCUCGGAGCAGAGGUGCUCGACGACGAUGGCGCUGGCGGAUCUGGGCGUGCCAUGGCCGCCGCCUGACCUGCUCUUGGUCGCGGCGGAUCUGCCUCCCUCUUUUCUUGUCCUAUCUUCAGGAGGCACCUUCGGCUUGGAACAUGGGGGGAGCACCACAUUCUAG